UACAGAGGUCUCAAGCGUUGUUCGGAUUCAUUGGGCGUAAAGGGUGCGUAGGCGGCGCGGUAAGUCGGGUGUGAAAUCUCGGGGCUUAACUCCGAAACUGCAUUCGAUACUGCCGUGCUUGAGGACUGGAGAGGAGACUGGAAUUUACGGUGUAACGGUGAAAUGCGUAGAUAUCGUAAGGAAGACCAGUGGCGAAGGCGGGUCUCUGGACAGUUCCUGACGCUGAGGCACGAAGGUCAGGGGAGCAAACGGG
Molecule: ribosomal RNA, 253 nt
Filed under: uncultured bacterium
Lineage: Bacteria
Description: partial 16S ribosomal RNA
Rfam family: Bacterial small subunit ribosomal RNA
Source: RNAcentral